RNAcentral lists this small nuclear RNA (226 nucleotides) under Panthera leo (lion). RNAcentral describes it as "U4 spliceosomal RNA (ENSPLOG00000016972.1)". The stretch from base 1 to 180 matches the Rfam family "U4 spliceosomal RNA". Rfam says of the family: U4 small nuclear RNA (U4 snRNA) is a component of the major U2-dependent spliceosome. Lineage: Eukaryota; Metazoa; Chordata; Mammalia; Carnivora; Felidae. The record is from RNAcentral.
AGCUUUGCACAAUGGCAGUAUUGUCACCAAUGAGGUUUAUCUAAGGCACGAUUAUUGCUAAUUGUUUUAUUUCUCCAAAUCACAUCUCACCAUCAAACAUAUUCUCUAUCUUACUUUGUGGGUUUCCCCUCGUUAAAACAUAUGCUUACAUACGGGAGAAAUUUUUGUUUGUUCUUUUCACUGCUGUCUCCCUAGCCUUGGGGUCCGGUGUGUGGUUGGCAUAAAA